AUUCCAAUAAGGAUCUCAAGACCUACAGUUAGGGAAUGCUAUUUGACAAUGUAAGUAACAAUUGGUUAUUUUAGUUGUAGGUGUCCAUCCUGCGACCUCUGGUUUGGUCUGGGAUGGAGCACCCAUAUGUAUUUGAUAGAUUCAACUAUGGUGUGUGAUUUAAAUUGGGUCUUUGAGUUGU
Non-coding RNA from Zea mays, 181 nucleotides. Lineage: Eukaryota; Viridiplantae; Streptophyta; Magnoliopsida; Poales; Poaceae. The record is from Rfam.